GUGAGUAUAAGAGAGGGUGGUGUUGGAAAGGGUGAGACUCAACUUUUGAAGCCCUUUUCUGCUCUGUUAGAAGGUCUGCAAGCUGCAUGGGCUAAGCGUGAAGAGGGCCUGUGUUCUGUUGGAGGGACAGUUCUCAGCUAGAAGAAAGCUGCAGCGUGUCCAAAGAACCUCAUUCAAAGGAAAAAAACAGCAUGACUGGAAGAACAAUGUAACCCCCGAGUGAGUCUAAUUUUCCAGUAGGAGCGCUUCAGGAUUAUAAAGGCCUGCAAAGCAGAGAUGUUCAACAGAAGUCUAGUGUCAAGAUCAUGUGAUGUGAUGGUAUCGCUUUGCUUUGCUCUGGCGAGAGAAGAAACUCCGAAGGGCAGCUGCCACGCAGUACCGGAUGCAGAAGUCCAAAAAUCCACAGCUCGUAAAGACUGGAAUGCGGGGCGUGGGAGUGCUAGACUUACUUGGAGGACGCGGUGGUGGGUGCGAAACAGGCUUCAAGAGCUGAGACAGAAAGACAACACGUAAAUGGGCGGCAAUCGAAGGCUAUGGAGCUGCAGGAGGUCGUGGAAGUGAAGGCUCUGGGGAGUUUUCAGUCCCUUAAGGUAUUCCACGCUUCUUCCUUCAAAUUUCCAUUUUCACGUACAAAAAUAAUAAAGCAAGUUGGCUCAUU
Molecule: long non-coding RNA, 658 nt
Organism: Heteronotia binoei (common prickly gecko)
Lineage: Eukaryota; Metazoa; Chordata; Lepidosauria; Squamata; Gekkonidae
Exons: 5
Source: RefSeq, a predicted model, not a curated record